AGUGAACGCUGGCGGUAGGCCUAACACAUGCAAGUCGAACGGCAGCACAGUAAGAGCUUGCUCUUACGGGUGGCGAGUGGCGGACGGGUGAGGAAUACAUCGGAAUCUACCUUUUCGUGGGGGAUAACGUAGGGAAACUUACGCUAAUACCGCAUACGACCUACGGGUGAAAGCAGGGGAUCUUCUGACCUUGCGCGAUUGAAUGAGCCGAUGUCGGAUUAGCUAGUUGGCGGGGUAAAGGCCCACCAAGGCGACGAUCCGUAGCUGGUCUGAGAGGAUGAUCAGCCACACUGGAACUGAGACACGGUCCAGACUCCUACGGGAGGCAGCAGUGGGGAAUAUUGGACAAUGGGCGCAAGCCUGAUCCAGCCAUACCGCGUGGGUGAAGAAGGCCUUCGGGUUGUAAAGCCCUUUUGUUGGGAAAGAAAAGCAGCAGGUUAAUACCCCGCUGUUCUGACGGUACCCAAAGAAUAAGCACCGGCUAACUUCGUG
This 492-nucleotide ribosomal RNA is filed under the name uncultured bacterium. Its description in RNAcentral is "partial 16S ribosomal RNA". It matches the Rfam family "Bacterial small subunit ribosomal RNA", at positions 29 to 507 of the family's 1533-position model. The record is from RNAcentral.